This 484-nucleotide ribosomal RNA is filed under the name uncultured bacterium. Its description in RNAcentral is "partial 16S ribosomal RNA". It matches the Rfam family "Bacterial small subunit ribosomal RNA", at positions 28 to 523 of the family's 1533-position model. The record is from RNAcentral.
GAUGAACGCUGGCGGCGUGCUUAACACAUGCAAGUCGAACGGUGAAGCAGGAGCUUGCUCUUGUGGAUCAGUGGCGAACGGGUGAGUAACACGUGAGCAACCUGCCCCUGACUCUGGGAUAAGCGCUGGAAACGGCGUCUAAUACUGGAUAUGUGAUGUGACCGCAUGGUCUGCAUCUGGAAAGAAUUUCGGUUGGGGAUGGGCUCGCGGCCUAUCAGCUUGUUGGUGAGGUAACGGCUCACCAAGGCGUCGAUGGGUAGCCGGCCUGAGAGGGUGACCGGCCACACUGGGACUGAGACACGGCCCAGACUCCUACGGGAGGCAGCAGUGGGGAAUAUUGCACAAUGGGCGGAAGCCUGAUGCAGCAACGCCGCGUGAGGGAUGACGGCCUUCGGGUUGUAAACCUCUUUUAGCAGGGAAGAAGCGAAAGUGACGGUACCUGCAGAAAAAGCACCGGCUAACUACGUGCCAGCAGCCGCCGUAA